AUUGAACGCUGGCGGCAGGCCUAACACAUGCAAGUCGAGCGAGCGGCGGACGGGUGAGUAAUGUCUGGGAAACUGCCUGAUGGAGGGGGAUAACUACUGGAAACGGUAGCUAAUACCGCAUACCAUCAGAUGUGCCAAGAUGGGAUUAGCUAGUAGGUGGGGUAACGGCUCACCUAGGCGACGAUCCCUAGCUGGUCUGAGAGGAUGACCAGCCACCCUGGAACCGCGACACGGUCCAGCCUCCUACGGUGGGCAGCAGUGGGUAAUAUUGCACAAUGGGCACAAUCCUGAUGCAGCCAUGCCGCGUGUGUGAAGAAGGCCUUCGGGUUGUAAAGCACUUUCAGCGGGGAGGCGUUACCCGCAGAAGAAUCACCGGCUAACUCCGUGCCAGCAGCCGCGGUAAUAC
Molecule: ribosomal RNA, 406 nt
Filed under: uncultured bacterium
Lineage: Bacteria
Description: partial 16S ribosomal RNA
Rfam family: Bacterial small subunit ribosomal RNA
Source: RNAcentral